Molecule: RNA transcript, 7483 nt
Organism: Lepus europaeus (European hare)
Lineage: Eukaryota; Metazoa; Chordata; Mammalia; Lagomorpha; Leporidae
Gene name: zinc finger protein with KRAB and SCAN domains 3-like
Exons: 7
Source: RefSeq, a predicted model, not a curated record
GGUGCCCGUCGGGCCUCCGCCGUGUGGCGUGGGGCGCCGUCGGCUGCGUGGUUCCCUUCCGGCCGGCCCUGCAGGAGGAUGUUGGCCGGGCCUGGGGGUGGCGCGACGCCCGCCGCUCCCCGUCCCCAGCGGCCCGUUCUCCCGAGCUGGGAAAGCCUGGGGAGGCGGCGGGGCACCGGGAGUGCCCGCCGAGGGCUCCCUGCGCUCCGUGGCCGCGUCCCCGGGCCUGGGUCGGCGCUUGGGGCAGUUGGAGACGGGAUUCUUGGGUCACACAGACAAGUCUUGAGAAUGGGGGCCGUUACAUUUUUCUCUACCUGAAGACAAGAAAUAUUCUGCACAUACUGAGCUCGCAACUACAGGGAGGCCUGAGUACUGCCUUGGCACAAGAUGGCUAGAGAAUCGAGGGAAAGCACAUCCCUGGAUGCCCAAGCUGCAGAGGACCAGAUGGAGCUUCUUGUCAUAAAAGUAGAGGAGGAAGAAGCCUCUGUCUUUGCAGAGGAGGCCAGCUUGCCCAACAGCUCUGCUCUGGGCUCUGAACGCUCCCGCCAGCGCUUUCGAGGCUUUCGGUACCCAGAGGCCACGGGUCCCCGCGAGGCGCUGAGCCGGCUCCGGGAGCUCUGCCGACAGUGGCUGCGGCCCAACCUGCACAGCAAGGAGCAGAUCCUGGAGCUGCUGGUGCUGGAGCAGUUCCUGACCAUCCUGCCCGGGGACCUGCAGCGCUGGGUGCGCAGGCAGCGCCCAGAGAGCGGGGAGGAGGUCGUGGCGCUGUUGGAGUGUUUGGAGAGGCAGCUGGAGGAGCCAACGCCGCAGGUUCCACCUGGCAGCCAGGGGCAAGAACUGCUUGGCUAUAAGAUGUCACUGUUGACACCAGCUCAGGGGUCACAGAGUAGCCAAUUCCAGCCAAUGAAGGCUUUAUUGAAGCACAAACCUCUGGGAACCCAGCCUUUACAAGACAGAGUUCUCCAGGUUCCUGGGCUUACCCAGGAAGGGAGCUGCAGAGAAGACACAGUGGUAGCCGCCAGGCUCACUCCAGAGUCCCAGGGGUUGCUGAAAAUGGACAGUGUGGCCCUGUCCCUCACUCCUGAGUGGACACAGCCGGAUUCAUCUCAGAUGAACCUCUACAGGGAUGAAAGGCUGGAGAACUAUAGCAGCCUCAUCUCCUUAGGUGCUGAUGCACAGACCAAGGUCAGGGACUUGCCUCCAGCCGAGCCACAUCCAGAGCAGGAGCCCAGCCAGACACCAGGGCACCUGGGUGGUGACACUGCCCGGGUUACUACAGGUGCACAAGCUGGUGAGCCGGAGAGUAGGCUGCAGAGAAAGCCGAGAAGUGCCUCAGGGAGGAGGCGGCACAUUUGCCUUGAAUGUGGGAAGAGUUUUGCUCAGAGUUCAGGCCUUAGUAAACACAGGAGAAUCCACACUGGAGAGAAACCCUACGAAUGCGAAGAGUGUGGCAAAGCCUUCAUUGGGAGCUCUGCCCUCAUUAUUCACCAGAGAGUCCACACUGGGGAGAAGCCAUAUGAGUGUGAGGAAUGUGGCAAGGCCUUUAGUCACAGCUCAGACCUUAUCAAGCACCAGAGAACCCACACUGGGGAGAAGCCCUACGAGUGUGAGGACUGUGGGAAAACCUUCAGCCAAAGCUGCAGCCUCCUUGAACAUCACAGAAUCCAUACAGGGGAGAAGCCAUACCAGUGCAACCUGUGCGGCAAAGCCUUUAGGCGGAGUUCCCAUCUCCUGAGACAUCAGAGGAUCCAUGGUGAUAAAAACCAUCAGGAACCUGAGCAUGGGGAGGCCUGGGAAUGCCAGAGUCGGGUGGAAGGCCAGUGGGAAAAUGUUGAAACUCUUGUGUCUUACAAAUGCAGUGAAUGUGAGAGAAGUUUUACUCAGAAUAUAGGCCUUCUUGAACAUCAAAAAAUCCACACUGGUGAGAAGCCCUAUCAGUGUGACACAUGUGGAAAAGGCUUCACCCGAACCUCAUACCUUGUUCAACAUCAGCGAAGCCAUGUAGGGAAGAGAAUUCCAUCGCAGUGAUCCAUGCUGUGCGUGACACAGGAGGUGCUCAUUCCUCAUCGAGCUGAGGCCACCCUGGGGCCCAGCCCAUCCUGACUACAAAGUGUGGUCUGGGGCUUUAUUUACCACCACAUAUCACUACGUGUUAGAAAAUACGGAGUCUGACUGACAGAAAUUGUUUUCUAAUUUCUGGAGCAUGAUUAGGCAAAAGCUUACUUGCUGGGAGGCUAGGGGAGAGUUGUCUGGAAGAGGUGGACCGGCUUUGUUUCCCGCCCCUGGGAUUAAUGGACUCGGAUUGACUACUUCCUCUCAGCCAGCACUUUAUGAUGUCUGCUGGGUGUGGGUAUGAGGGAGGCUGCCUUGUGACUGUUGACUAGAAUUAGUCAGAUUCAUGGCGUCUUAUAUCCCUCGUUGUGCCUUGCAAACAGGUGCUAAUUAAAUAUGUAAUAAAUGUGCCAGUGAGAGUACCUGCCUAGCUCUGGAAGUUUUACAUUAUUUAGAUUUCUUUGGAAUGUAUCACCAAAGAAAACUUGUAUCUAAUUUCUGGGAUUCUACUGUUUUGAGUCAAUUUUGUGCAUUUUUUUGCCAAGUACAUGGGAUUGGCAGAGUAGAGGUGCAGGUGGGUUACUGUGAUAGGAAGGAUCCAUGUUUCUCUACAGUACCUGUAUUUAUUUCUUAGUCUUUAAAUAAUUGUGAAUGUGUGUCAUCCAUUGAAUUCCAUUUUUUAGUUAAUUUUUCCUUGAUGUUAAUUUUGGUACUUUUUAGGGAAAAAUUUUCCUAUUCAGGCAGUUAUCAAGAUGAAAUCAGUUAUCCAGUCAGAAUAAAAUCAUCAAUUUUCUAAUGCUUAGCCUCUUGGUACUUGGCCUUUUAGUUUUCUUUGGCCUAACCAAGUGCCCCCAGUGCUGUAGACAUUAUCCUGCCCCCUCCAACAUGUUGUGUAAAUUGCAUCAAAGCUCAUCCCUGCUAAAUUCACACUUCCUCCAGGUCAGUGGAGUCACAUCAGAUAUUUAAAGUAAGAAAUCAUGGUUUCAGAACCCUACUAUUAGUGUCUGAUAGUUCUAGUCUUAUUAUAGAUUGAUUCCCAAAUCACCUGGGUAGUAACAUCACAAUCAUUUCUGAUGAGAAUUUUAACCAUUAAGCUAACUCCUCAGGCUGUCUGCCUUCCAUUAAACAUACUCUCUGGACCAUCCAUUUUUCUUCUUCAUAGGAAUCAAAAUUUCAGUGUUGUUAAUUCAAAUGAGAAAAUGUUUUUUAGUCACAUUAUACCAGUAGUAUUUAUGUUUCAAAUGAAGUUGUUUCUACAGGAGUAUUUUGGAGUGACUACUUUCUUACAAACUUUUGUUAGUGUUAUCAGUUCUUACUAAAGAAAUAUUCUUUUGUUAGUACAUCAGUUCUCAUUGCUCACCUGGCUUCUGGCACCUGCAGUCUCUUCCAUAUUUAUAGUAUCUGUCUAAGAUUCUAAUUUGGAUAUAGCAAAUUUUCAGUCAUUUUCCACAACUAAUGGUUAGGCAAUGUGAUAUAUUAUUUCCUGCUGUACUUAUUUUUACUUUAUUUAUUAGGAAUUGAACUGUCAUCCAAAAUCCUUUGUAGAUCUACCUAAGUCCCCCCCCCCCCCUUUUUUUUUUUUUGCCAGUUUCCAAGGCCUGGUACUUCCAGGGUUUCAGAGAUCUAAUGUAAAGUGUUUUUAUUACAGUAAUAAACCAUAUUGUUAUUUUAAUUGAAUGGAUUCUUAAGUUGUUGAUAAGAAUACAUUCCAUGGUUCCCAAACUUUCUGAGCAUAUAUUAGUCAGGAGUCUGCAGAGAAAUAAACCAGUAGUGUGUGUGUUGGGGGGGUAGUUAAGGAAUUGGUUCCUGUGACUCUGGAAGCUGGGAAUUCACUAAAACAAUGUUUCCACUGUCUGCCAGCUAGAGACCCAGGAGAGCCUAGGGGUGCAAGUUCCAGUCCCAGUGCCAUCAGACUUGAUCAGAGAAGAGCCACUUUUUCAGUGUGAGUCUAAAAGUCAGAAAAGAUUGAUGUGUCAGCUCAUUGUAGUUAGGUAGAAAGCAUACACAUUUCUUGUGGAAAUAGCCUUUCUCUUCUCUUGAGGCCUUUAACUGAUUGAGUGAGGGCUACCUACAUUAGGGAGGCAAUCUAGGAGUCUACUGGUUACUAUUUUUUUUUAUCAUCGCAAAACACCCUCAGAUGCACACUCAGAAUAUUAGACCAAAUAUCUGGUACUUCAUGGCCCAGAUAUAUACAAUAUAUACAAUUAAUACAAUAUAUACAAUUAAUCAGCACAAUACUAUACUUAAGGCACUGAAAUACUAACCAUGCUCCCCCUCUCUGACCUUUAGUCACUUUAAUUGGCCGUAGGAGCCUGGGAAAUGAUGUCUGUAGCCUCCUACCUGGCUUACAGAUCAGGAUGGAGGAUUGGUCCGAAGACUAGAGACAAGGUAUAUGGGCUGGCUCACCAUCACAGCAUCCUCUAGCAGAGUUCUUUGGGGACUCACUUGCAAAAUAGAAAUUGACAAGAGCCCACUGUGCAACCCAGACAAGGCUUAUUGGGGGCUUUAUGCGCCAGCACAAGGGAGACAGCAGCGCGGGAGGGAGAUUUGAGGGUUAGUUCCGCCAAGUGGCUCAGUAAGGGAAGCUGGACAGUGGGGAGGCACAGUGGCUCCCUGCUGGCACACUGCACUUGGAUCUGCACCCAGCCCAGAGCUCUGGCUUAUGCUCCUUGGCACACAACACUUUGGUUUGCACCUGCCUGGUUCUGUUACACAACAACAACAAGCUCAAAAUGUUUGUGGGAAAAGGGACAUAGUGUUGCUAACUACCAGAAAGGACACACAUUGGUCACACUGAGCUAUCCUGGGAAUGUGUGUGGGUCAGGGAAGUUCCUAACAGGGCAGUAGGGGGUCUUUUGUGGUCAGGGCAGGGUCUAGAUUCUCUUUUCUAUGGACUGGUUUGGAGCUGGAGGUGGGUCCAUGGGAGGGUCUUAAUUUAGUGGGCCUGCUUCUAGCCUGUUUCAUUCCUGUUGAAUAAAUGAUUCCAAAAAUUAGCUUUACUUGUUCUUUUGAGUUAUUAACAUAACAUUGCCUGAGACCAGAGUGUUCACAUUCCUAUUUCCAGAAAUAAAAGUCUUUCCUGUUUCUAAACAACUUACAUCUGACAGUCACUCAUUCAGCAAAACUGAUUGUUAGAUCAGGAGCUAAGGAAUUAAUGAUAAACAACACAAUGUCUCUGCCUUUAAAAAGCAUAAGAACUAAAUUCUCUUCCACCUUCUAACCAAGGUAUUUCAUCCAUGUCUGUCUUCAUUUUCUUGUCAACUUUAUAGUCCUUUUUUCCAAAGAAUGACUGCACCGUAGCUGCCUGGUAGCUUCCAUGCCUCCAUCCAUGACGCAUUGACCAGGAUUCAGCUGCUAAUCGAAGCUCUAAUCCUCCCUGAACGUGAACUGGUAAGUUUUGUGAGGCAUUGGGACAAGGCUAUUUCCCUCUCAUCUCCCUAUCUGACGUACAGGUUGUCUUCCUCACCACUUGUAAGGUCUACCUGAAUGGUAUGAAACUAUGGAUCUGCAGCAUUACAGCUCCACAGCAGUACAAUAUUCUACCAAAUGAGUUUUAGUCAAAUGGCCUCUUUAGGCAAUGUUUGUGGGAAAAGGGACAUAGCGAGCUUGCACAUUUUGUAUUCUUGCUUUUGCUAUCUAUAUAAAUUAAGAAAAUGUCAAUCCAAGAAGGGCUUGCUUUCUUUCCUAACCAAACAUGCCUGCCUUUCCUUGAUAAAUCUGGUGCCAAACAUGGGGCUAAUGCAGCUAUACAGGACAGGAUAGGAUACAUGGGAAGACCUCCCGGGAUUUGAUAGCUUGUGUUUCUGGCCCGCAGGAGGGGGAGAAGUAAAGGCCUUCCCACUGUUGCACUUUACCAUUCACUGACAAGGUUAUAGGAUGUGAAUAGAUUCCCAGUAGUCUACCUGCUGACAAAUGUUUGGGGCUGGAUUGAAUCUAGUUGCCCAGUGCCUUAGUUGUCCAAAUUUUGAUUGUUGAGGCCACUCAAAGAUGAGUCAAUGCAAAUAUGUGUCUACUGAUGUGGAACUGAUCCUUUGAACCCCUUGAACUCUCCUGCUAUAUAUCUUACAUUACUUUAAGGGAAAAAGGCCUCUGAAGCCCAUCCAACUCUUCCACACAGUUCCUGGCUCCUAAUCAAGCAGACAAAUGCUUUCCUGACUGCUGCUGUCUCAACCCUGUAAAUGCCUGCAUUAAACUUACCUGUUUCUGUUUUAAAAAAACAAAGGAGGGGAGCUGUUUCCAAAUUCAACUGACAAGAGUUUGGAAAAACUUUGCAAUGAAGAGAAAAAAGUUGCCCGGGAGGUGAUUGGGGCACGAGUGACUCGGUGAACGGUACAGGUGCCUGCCUCUUCUUGGCACUCUUCAGUACUCUCGGCACCGUUCAGGACUUCUGCUCAGAUCUAAUGGAAUUGUGUGUCGUUUAGCCGGUAAGAUGUAAUGAGUCCUUUUUAUAGUCCAGAUGAAAGUCCCCUCAGAGUUGUGGUUUGCAAAAUUUCCCCCUGUAUGUAGCUUAUCAUUUUUAUCCUCUUAACAGGAUCUUUCAGAGCAAGAGUUUUAAAUUUUCCUGAAGACUUAAUUGUAAUUUCUUUAAUAAAUUGUACUUUUGAUGACGAUUCAAAUAAUAUUUGCCUAGCCCUAGACUCUGAUUUUAUGUUUUCCUCUUAAAGUUUUAGGCCUUACAUUUUAGCUCGUGAUUCAUUUUGAGUUUGUUUCUUUCUGGAUUAUGGGUGUCCAGUGUUCCAGCACCAUUUCCGCAAAAGGCUUUACUUCCUACGCUGAUGUGCGUUGUGCAUCUGGGAGGAGUCAGCUGGUUGUUUUCACUGAAUUGUACGUCCACCUCUGAACAAUGCCUGCUGUUGAUCACCACAGCAAUGUAGUGGACAGUGAAAGAGAGAGACAGAGAGAAAGGUCUUCCUGAUGGAUUUUGAGGUGGACUGAACACUGAGCUGUAUCCACAUCCCAGGUCUCAUUCUGGCUUACCAUUUUAUAACACUGGACAAAUCUUCAUCUUCCUUGGCCUCAUCAUCUGUAGAAAACAGACACUAACUAUCUCAGAGCUGUAAGGAUUAAAGGAGAACAUGUGAAAAUACUCAGUAAGCAUUAUAAAACCGUAGAUAUUAACUCCAAAUUCAUCACAAUGGAUUUUAGUACAAGGCAGGCUUGUAUUGGGGACUUUCACACUUCUCCCCUGUGCCUUCAAACUGUUUCAUGAAAUACAAUCACUUAUUCUUUAACAAACCUAAUGAGGCAUUUUGUUCAACCGUUCACAGGCUCUUGGCAAUGAAACAUACUUAGGAGGUUUUCCAGGGAGAAUCGGGGAAAUAGGACAGAUGGAUGCUGCUAAGUUUAAGGUAUUGUAACAAUGCACAUUGACUCAGGAAGUCUGGGUGAUGCCCCAACUAUUGGUCUACUGAGCAUUUUCAAUAACAAGGGA